This 446-nucleotide ribosomal RNA is filed under the name uncultured bacterium. RNAcentral's name for it is "partial 16S ribosomal RNA". It matches the Rfam family "Bacterial small subunit ribosomal RNA", at positions 338 to 795 of the family's 1533-position model. The record is from RNAcentral.
CCUACGGGAGGCUGCAGUCGAGAAUCAUUCACAAUGGGGGAAACCCUGAUGGUGCGACGCCGCGUGGGGGAAUGAAGGUCUUCGGAUUGUAAACCCCUGUCAUGUGGGAGCAAAUUAAAAAGAUAGUACCACAAGAGGAAGAGACGGCUAACUCUGUGCCAGCAGCCGCGGUAAUACAGAGGUCUCAAGCGUUGUUCGGAAUCACUGGGCGUAAAGCGUGCGUAGGCUGUUUCGUAAGUCGUGUGUGAAAGGCGCGGACUCAACCCGCGGACGGCACAUGAUACUGCGAGCCUAGAGUAAUGGAGGGGGAACCGGAAUUCUCGGUGUAGCAGUGAAAUGCGUAGAUAUCGAGAGGAACACUCGUGGCGAAGGCGGGUUCCUGGACAUUAACUGACGCUGAGGCACGAAGGCCAGGGGAGCGAAAGGGAUUAGAUACCCGUGUAGUC